GCUUACGGCCACACCUCCCUGAGCACCCCGAUCUCGUCUGAUCUCGGAAGCUAAGCAGGUCGGGCCCGGUUAGUACUUGGAUGGGAGACCGCCUGGGAAUACCAUGCUGUAAGCC
RNAcentral lists this ribosomal RNA (115 nucleotides) under Esox lucius (northern pike). The record is from RNAcentral. Lineage: Eukaryota; Metazoa; Chordata; Actinopteri; Esociformes; Esocidae.